GGGUGGUAAUGCCGGAUGCUCCAGUCCAUCGCAUGGUGGUCUGGGAAAGAUUCUAUCGGUAUGGGAUGGGGUCGCGUCCUAUCAGCUUGAUGGCGGGGUAACGGCCCACCAUGGCCUCGACGGGUAGCCGGCCUGAGAGGGCGACCGGCCACAUUGGGACUGAGAUACGGCCCAGACUCCUACGGGAGGCAGCAGUGGGGAAUAUUGCACAAUGGGCGCAAGCCUGAUGCAGCGACGCCGCGUGCGGGAUGGAGGCCUUCGGGUUGUAAACCGCUUUUGAUCGGGAGCAAGCCCUUCGGGGUGAGUGUACCCUUCGAAUAAGCACCGGCUAACUACGUGCCAGCAGCCGCGGUAAUACGUAGGGUGCAAGCGUUAUCCGGAAUUAUUGGGCGUAAAGGGCUCGUAGGCGGUUCGUCGCGUCCGGUGUGAAAGCCCAUCGCUUAACGGUGGGUCUGCGCCGGGUACGGGCGGGCUGGAGUGCGGUAGGGGAGACUGGAAUUCCCGGUGUAACGGUGGAAUGUGUAGAUAUCGGAAAGAACACCA
RNAcentral lists this ribosomal RNA (543 nucleotides) under Bifidobacterium dentium. Its description in RNAcentral is "bacterial SSU rRNA". It matches the Rfam family "Bacterial small subunit ribosomal RNA", at positions 158 to 711 of the family's 1533-position model. Lineage: Bacteria; Bacillati; Actinomycetota; Actinomycetes; Bifidobacteriales; Bifidobacteriaceae. The record is from RNAcentral.